Molecule: ribosomal RNA, 253 nt
Filed under: uncultured bacterium
Lineage: Bacteria
Description: partial 16S ribosomal RNA
Rfam family: Bacterial small subunit ribosomal RNA
Source: RNAcentral
UACGGAGGGUGCGAGCGUUGUCCGGAAUCACUGGGCGUAAAGGGCGCGUAGGCGGCUCGGUUAGUCAUCGGUGAAAGUUCAGGGCUCAACUCUGAAUCGGCCGGUGAUACUCCCGUGCUCGAGCACUGUAGAGGCAGGUGGAAUUCCGGGUGUAGCGGUGGAAUGCGUAGAGAUCCGGAAGAACACCGGUGGCGAAGGCGGCCUGCUGGGCAGUAGCUGACGCUGAUGCGCGACAGCGUGGGGAGCAAACAGG